This is a non-coding RNA of Anas platyrhynchos (mallard), 1453 nucleotides long. The record is from RefSeq and is a predicted model, not a curated record. Lineage: Eukaryota; Metazoa; Chordata; Aves; Anseriformes; Anatidae.
GCCCGCUGUGGAGGCGCCCCCCGAGCGGCUUUGCCUUCGUGGUGCAGCUCUGCCAGCACACAGGAGAGCCCCCAUGGAUGCUGCCCUGGGAUGCCCGACGUGCCCGAGCAGCUGGAUCUCAGCAGGCAUCAGCACAGAAGAUGCCCUCUCCUCUAGUGGAAAAGAAGAUCUGGAAGCAAAGGAAGGUAGAGAACUCUAUUCCAAACAAUGCAGAUGCCCAACCUUCAUUUAAAUGAAUUGGUCUGGACCUUCAGUUUAACAUAAACAUUGGGAACAAAUCAGAAUACCUGCUUAACUUUUUUGUAUAAGUAAAUUAUCAAAAUAAAGGUGGAUAAAAUGGUAGGAAAAGGUUAUUCAGAAACAUAUUUUGUCCUGCAGUUACUCCUACAUCAGAUAACUCUCUGUGAUCACUAGGUGAUAAAGUAAAAUCUUUGUUUAACCAGUUAAGCCUGGAGGCAGCAACCACAUCCUAUAAAUGGUGCUGUGUGGUGAAAUAUGGAGGCAAGGUACUGUUAGCUGAAAUUGUGUGAUGUUACUCUCUGCCGUAUCAAGGAUUUGAAGAAAACAAGGAAAAUAUCACAAGCAAAAUCUUUCAGUGAGUCUCUGAGGGUGCCAUAUGAUGUGAACUCAAAAGUGACAUGUGGAACAGGCUACCCCAGCGUCGUUCUUUCAGUCCUCCUCAGUCAGCGUCAUGUGUUCUCUGCAAGUACAGGGUCUGCUUCGUUAGAUGAUUAUAGCAGAUUUGUGUCUCUCAAGAAGAAACAGAAGCUUAAGGUCUUCACGGUUCAGCUUUGUAGCAUAGCCAGGAAAUCUGCCCAUUAGAAUUGCAAGCCUCUUUCAUGCAUGGCCAGUUCCAAAGUUCGGUGCAGCAGGAUUCGGGAAUGAAAAAUGUCAUCUAUAAUUAUGCAUAUUUUCAUCAUCUUCUGUCAUGCAAAUCCCCCCUCCCCAAAUAUGCAGCAAAUGUUUUGUUUGCAUAUGUAGGUCAACCACAAAUCUGCAGUGGUCUAACAUAAAUAUUGGAAGCAUAGGCUGAUGUAAACAAAUUUAAACCCAGUCUGAGAAGCAUAAUAACAACACCGACGUUUUCCAAGUCUGUUUACUAGUUAUGUUUUCUUCUGACAUUUCAUUUUAUAAAACAUUGCUUUCCUGUUGAUUUGCAAAAGCACAACUGACAGAAGAUAUUCACCAUUAUUGCAAAAGGAACUAUAAACUUCAUAAACGGAUGGAUAGUUCUCAAUUAGUAACUUAUUUUUAUACAGGAGCUUGAAGAAUGUAUUAUUUUUCAAAACAGUUUGCCAGAGUAUUUCUUCAAGUAAUUCUUACUUUGUGACGGGAAGGAGCCCAGUUUUAUAUGAUAUUUUAAAAAGAUUGUAUGUUCAUUUUACACAUUAUGCGCCACAAUGUUUUACUUCCCCGGGCUGUCUUAAAAAAAAAUAAAUAGAGAAGAAAUACA